This 359-nucleotide ribosomal RNA is filed under the name uncultured bacterium. Its description in RNAcentral is "bacterial SSU rRNA". It matches the Rfam family "Bacterial small subunit ribosomal RNA", at positions 8 to 353 of the family's 1533-position model. The record is from RNAcentral.
AGAGUUUGAUCCUGGCUCAGGAUGAACGCUAGCUACAGGCUUAACACAUGCAAGUCGAGGGGAAACGACAUCGAAAGCUUGCUUUUGAUGGGCGUCGACCGGCGCACGGGUGAGUAACGCGUAUCCAACCUGCCCACCACUUGGGGAUAACCUUGCGAAAGUAAGACUGAUACCCAAUGACGUCUCUAGAAGACAUCUGAAAGAGAUUAAAGUAUUUAUCGGUGAUGGAUGGGGAUGCGUCUGAUUAGCUUGUUGGCGGGGUAACGGCCCACCAAGGCGACGAUCAGGUAGGGGUUCUGAGAGGAACGGCCCCCCACAUUGGAACUGAGACACGGUCCAAACUCCUACGGGAGGCAGCA